This 492-nucleotide ribosomal RNA is filed under the name uncultured bacterium. Its description in RNAcentral is "partial 16S ribosomal RNA". It matches the Rfam family "Bacterial small subunit ribosomal RNA", at positions 29 to 507 of the family's 1533-position model. The record is from RNAcentral.
AGUGAACGCUGGCGGUAGGCCUAACACAUGCAAGUCGAACGGCAGCACAGUAAGAGCUUGCUCUUACGGGUGGCGAGUGGCGGACGGGUGAGGAAUACAUCGGAAUCUACUUUUUCGUGGGGGAUAACGUAGGGAAACUUACUCUAAUACCGCAUACGACCUACGGUUGAAAGCAGGGGAUCUUCGGACCUUGCGCGAUUGAAUGAGCCGAUGUCGGAUUAGCUAGUUGGCGGGGUAAAGGCCCACCAAGGCGACGAUCCGUAGCUGGUCUGAGAGGAUGAUCAGCCACACUGGAACUGAGACACGGUCCAGACUCCUACGGGAGGCAGCAGUGGGGAAUAUUGGACAAUGGGCGCAAGCCUGAUCCAGCCAUACCGCGUGGGUGAAGAAGGCCUUCGGGUUGUAAAGCCCUUUUGUUGGGAAAGAAAAGCAGCAGGUUAAUACCCCGCUGUUCUGACGGUACCCAAAGAAUAAGCACCGGCUAACUUCGUG